GACGAACGCUGGCGGCGUGCUUAACACAUGCAAGUCGAACGGAAAGGCCCUGCUUUUGUGGGGUGCUCGAGUGGCGAACGGGUGAGUAACACGUGAGUAACCUGCCCUUGACUUUGGGAUAACUUCAGGAAACUGGGGCUAAUACCGGAUAGGAGCUCCUGCUGCAUGGUGGGGGUUGGAAAGUUUCGGCGGUUGGGGAUGGACUCGCGGCUUAUCAGCUUGUUGGUGGGGUAGUGGCUUACCAAGGCUUUGACGGGUAGCCGGCCUGCGAGGGUGACCGGCCACCUUGGGACUGGGGUACGGCCCCAACUUCUACGGGGAGCAAGAGUGGGGAAUAUUGCACAAUGGGCGGAAGCCUGAUGCAGCAACGCCGCGUGCGGGAUGACGGCCUUCGGGUUGUAAACCGCUUUCGCCUGUGACGAAGCGUGAGUGACGGUAAUGGGUAAAGAAGCACCGGCUAACUACGUG
RNAcentral lists this ribosomal RNA (468 nucleotides) under uncultured bacterium. Its description in RNAcentral is "partial 16S ribosomal RNA". It matches the Rfam family "Bacterial small subunit ribosomal RNA", at positions 28 to 507 of the family's 1533-position model. The record is from RNAcentral.